GAUGAACGCUGGCGGCGUGCCUAAUACAUGCAAGUAGAACGCUGAGGGAGGAGCUUGCUCUUCUGGAUGAGUUGCGAACGGGUGAGUAACGCGUAGGUAACCUGCCUGGUAGCGGGGGAUAACUAUUGGAAACGAUAGCUAAUACCGCAUGACAACAGUUAUUGCAUGAUAACUGUUUAAAAGGGGCAACUGCUCCACUACCAGAUGGACCUGCGUUGUAUUAGCUAGUUGGUGAGGUAACGGCUCACCAAGGCGACGAUACAUAGCCGACCUGAGAGGGUGAUCGGCCACACUGGGACUGAGACACGGCCCAGACUCCUACGGGAGGCAGCAGUAGGGAAUCUUCGGCAAUGGACGGAAGUCUGACCGAGCAACGCCGCGUGAGUGAAGAAGGGUUUCGGAUCGUAAAGCUCGGUUGUAAGAGAAGAACGAGUGUGAGAGUGGAAAGUUCACACUGUGACGGUAUCUUACCAGAAAGGGACGGCUAACUACGUG
Molecule: ribosomal RNA, 495 nt
Filed under: uncultured bacterium
Lineage: Bacteria
Description: partial 16S ribosomal RNA
Rfam family: Bacterial small subunit ribosomal RNA
Source: RNAcentral